Molecule: transfer RNA, 74 nt
Filed under: Marmota monax (woodchuck)
Lineage: Eukaryota; Metazoa; Chordata; Mammalia; Rodentia; Sciuridae
Description: tRNA.Ala
Source: RNAcentral
GCAGGGGCUGGGGCUCAGCGGUAGAGUGCUUGCCUGGCACAUGUGAGGCACUGGGUUCAAUCCUCAGCACUGCA